GACGAACGCUGGCGGCGUGGAUUAGGCAUGCAAGUCGAACGGUAUCAUCCUUUCGGGGGUGAGAGAGUGGCGAACUGGUGAGUAACACGUAGGUUAUCUACCCUCAAGACGGGGACAACCCAGGGAAACUUGGGCUAAUACCGGAUGUGAGCAACUUUUUAGUUGUUUGAAAGGUGGCGUAAGCUGUCGCUUGGGGAUGAGCCUGCGUCCUAUUAGUUAGUUGGUGAGGUAACGGCUCACCUAGGCAAUGAUAGGUAGGCGGCCUUAACGGGUGGUCGCCCACACUGGGAUUGAGAUACGGCCCAGACUCCUACGGGAGGCAGCAGUCGAGAAUAGUCUACAAUGGCCGGAAGGCUGAUAGUGCGACGCCGCGUGAACGAGGGAGCCCUUCGGGGUGUAAAGUUCUUUUCUAUACGAGCAGUGCUAUAUAUAUGGAUAGUAUAUAUAGAGGGAUAGUAGUAUAGGAAUAAGCAACGGCUAACUCCGUGCCCAGCAGCCGCGGUAAGACGU
RNAcentral lists this ribosomal RNA (510 nucleotides) under uncultured bacterium. RNAcentral describes it as "bacterial SSU rRNA". It matches the Rfam family "Bacterial small subunit ribosomal RNA", at positions 28 to 528 of the family's 1533-position model. The record is from RNAcentral.